AAUGAAUGUGAACUGUGCUAGAUUCAACUCGCCUUAGACAAAAGUGGCAUUGAUACACAGUGUGAUGGUGAAUGUGCCAUCUGUUGGAAAGAGCACCAGCUGCUGGAAUCCAGAAAUUGUAUGAGAAUCUGUUUUCAUUUAAAAGAAAAUCUGAGCUAACAGAGAUUAUGUUAGCACUAAACUGGGCUUUGGAAGUAUGUGCUAUCGUGGCCAUCCUGUCUGACUCCUUAUCAGGGCUGCAGGCAAUUU
Molecule: long non-coding RNA, 249 nt
Organism: Chelonoidis abingdonii (Abingdon island giant tortoise)
Lineage: Eukaryota; Metazoa; Chordata; Testudines; Testudinidae
Source: RefSeq, a predicted model, not a curated record